UACGUAGGUGGCGAGCGUUGUCGGGAUUUACUGGGCGUAAAGCGCGCGCAGGCGGACUGAUCAGUCUGGGGUGAAAUCUCACGGCUCAACUGUGAGCGGUCCCUGGAUACUGUCAGCCUUGAGAUGUCUAGAGGAGAGCGGAAUUCCCGGUGUAGUGGUGGAAUGCGUAGAUAUCGGGAGGAACACCGGUGGCGAAGGCGGCGUUCUGGACUGCAACUGACACUGAUGGACGAAAGCCAGGGGAGCAAACGGG
RNAcentral lists this ribosomal RNA (253 nucleotides) under uncultured bacterium. RNAcentral's name for it is "partial 16S ribosomal RNA". It matches the Rfam family "Bacterial small subunit ribosomal RNA", at positions 524 to 776 of the family's 1533-position model. The record is from RNAcentral.